UUAAGUGACUAAGCGUACAAGGUGGAUGCCUUGGCAAUCAGAGGCGACGAAGGACGUGCUAAUCUGCGAAAAGCUUGGAUGAGUCGAUAAGAGGCGUUUAAUCCAAGAUGUCCGAAUGGGGAAACCCAGUAGAUGAAGAAUCUACUAUCACUUACUGAAUACAUAGGUAAGUGAGGCAAACCGGGAGAACUGAAACAUCUAAGUACCCCGAGGAAAAGAAAUCAACCGAGAUUUCGUUAGUAGCGGCGAGCGAACGCGAAGGAGCCUGUUAGUGAUAAUGACAGAGACAGAGGAACAAGCUGGGAAGCUUGGCGAUACAGGGUGAUAGCCCCGUACUCGAAGUCCAGGUCAUGGUACUAAGCUAACGAUAAGUAGGGCGGGACACGUGAUAUCCUGUUUGAAGAUGGGGGGACCAUCCUCCAAGGCUAAAUACUCCUGAUUGACCGAUAGUGAACCAGUACUGUGAAGGAAAGGCGAAAAGAACCCCGGUGAGGGGAGUGAAAUAGAACCUGAAACCUUGUACGUACAAGCAGUGGGAGCCCUUUUUGGGUGACUGCGUACCUUUUGUAUAAUGGGUCAGCGACUUAUAUUUUGUAGCGAGGUUAACCGAAUAGGGGAGCCGAAGGGAAACCGAGUCUUAACUGGGCGUUUAGUUGCAAGGUAUAGACCCGAAACCCGGUGAUCUAGCCAUGGGCAGGUUGAAGGUUGGGUAACACUAACUGGAGGACCGAACCGACUAAUGUUGAAAAAUUAGCGGAUGACUUGUGGCUGGGGGUGAAAGGCCAAUCAAACCGGGAGAUAGCUGGUUCUCCCCGAAAUCUAUUUAGGUAGAGCCUUGAGCGGACACCUUCGGGGGUAGAGCACUGUUUCGGCUAGGGGUCCAUCCCGGAUUACCAACCCGAUGCAAACUACGAAUACCGAAGAGUGAUACUCAGGAGACACACGGCGGGUGCUAACGUCCGUCGUGGAGAGGGAAACAACCCAGACCGCCAGCUAAGGUCCCAAAGUCUAUAUUAAGUGGGAAACGAAGUGGGAAGGCUUAGACAGCUAGGAUGUUGGCUUAGAAGCAGCCAUCAUUUAAAGAAAGCGUAAUAGCUCACUAGUCGAGUCGGCCUGCGCGGAAGAUGUAACGGGGCUCAAAUAUAGCACCGAAGCUGCGGCAUCAGACGAAAGUCUGUUGGGUAGGGGAGCGUUCUGUAAGCGGAUGAAGGUGAAUCGAGAGGUUUGCUGGACGUAUCAGAAGUGCGAAUGCUGACAUAAGUAACGAUAAAACGGGUGAAAAACCCGUUCGCCGGAAGACCAAGGGUUCCUGUCCAACGUUAAUCGGGGCAGGGUGAGUCGGCCCCUAAGGCGAGGCUGAAAAGCGUAGUCGAUGGGAAACGGGUUAAUAUUCCCGUACUUGGUAAAGCUGCGAUGUGGGGACGGAGCAGGUUAGGUUAGCGUGCUGUUGGAUAUGCACGUUUAAGUUGGUAGGUGGGAAGUUUAGGCAAAUCCGGACUUCCUUAACACUGAGAGAUGAUGACGAGGCUCUACGGAGCUGAAGUAACCGAUACCACACUUCCAGGAAAAGCCACUAAGCUUCAGGUUUAUCUAAACCGUACUGAAAACCGACACAGGUGGUCAGGUAGAGAAUACUCAGGCGCUUGAGAGAACUCGGGUGAAGGAACUAGGCAAAAUAGCACCGUAACUUCGGGAGAAGGUGCGCCGGCGUAGAUUGUAGUCCCUUGCGGAUGAAGGUUGAACCGGUCGAAGAUACCAGCUGGCUGCAACUGUUUAUUAAAAACACAGCACUCUGCAAACACGAAAGUGGACGUAUAGGGUGUGAUGCCUGCCCGGUGCUGGAAGGUUAAUUGAUGGUGUAAUCGAAAGAGAAGCUCCUGAUCGAAGCCCCAGUAAACGGCGGCCGUAACUAUAACGGUCCUAAGGUAGCGAAAUUCCUUGUC
This 1943-nucleotide ribosomal RNA is filed under the name human gut metagenome. Its description in RNAcentral is "bacterial LSU rRNA". It matches the Rfam family "Bacterial large subunit ribosomal RNA", at positions 1 to 1973 of the family's 2925-position model. The record is from RNAcentral.